AGUGAACGCUGGCGGUAGGCCUAACACAUGCAAGUCGAACGGCAGCACAGUAAAAGCUUGCUCUUACGGGUGGCGAGUGGCGGACUGGUGAGGAAUACAUCGGUAUCUACUUUUUCGUGGUGGCUCACGUAGGGAAACUUACGCUAAUACCGCAUACGACCUACGGGUGAAAGCAGGGGAUCUUCGGACCUUGCGCGAUUGAAUGAGCCGAUGUCGGAUUAGCUAGUUGGCGGGGUAAAGGCCCACCAAGGCGACGAUCCGUAGCUGGUCUGAGAGGAUGAUCAGACACACUGGAACUGAGAAACGGUCCAGAAUCCUACGGGAGGCAGAAGUGGGGAAUAUUGGACAAUGGGAGCAAGCCUGAACCAGCCAUACCGCGUGGGUGAAGAAGGCAUUCGGGUUGUAAAACCCUUUUGUUGGGAAAGAAAAGAAGAAGGUUAAUACACCGAUGUUCUGACGGUACCAAAAGAAUAAGCACCGGCUAACUUCGUG
This 492-nucleotide ribosomal RNA is filed under the name uncultured bacterium. Its description in RNAcentral is "partial 16S ribosomal RNA". It matches the Rfam family "Bacterial small subunit ribosomal RNA", at positions 29 to 507 of the family's 1533-position model. The record is from RNAcentral.